GAGAGAGGGCGAAAGGGGAGAGAUUACCGAGGGGGAGGGAAGAGAGGAAAAGCAGCAGGAGUUUAUGAUGCCGGAGUUUGUCAAAGGGCUCAACACGCAUUUCUGAAAGAACUUUCUGGAUGGGCCAAAGGAAGCCUCAUCUCUCUGAGUCUCAAAUCUGUCUGGGCUACAUGAUGCUUAAUGGCCUGGUGUCUAAGGAAAACAGGAGGCAGCCAGAUUAGGGCAAGCCAAGAAAAUAAAUUCUCUGUCCUCUGAUUCUCAGGUGCCCUGAGGAAAACACGUAUGAAUUCGCUCUUCCAGAUUUCAUUUGUGAUCAAACACACUGAUGUAAAGAAACAGGCUCACUCUGUGUAAACAUUUUUUUUCUUUUUCUUUUUUCUGUGGUGUCCUUAGAACAUGAGAGGUUGCUGUCUGAACUGAUCAUCUCAGAAACAACUCUGAAUCUAAACUGUCAAGAAAAUAACACAAUAUGAGGGAAAUUUACUUUUGAAAUAUUCUAUGAUGUCCCUCUCUUUGGCUCCGAACAGUUGUUAAGCAAAAAUUGAUGCUCAGCUAAAGGCAGGUCUUUCAACAGCAAUCUCAGUUGUAUCGAGUGAAACAUUUGCUAGGGGACAUUGCUCAGUUCAAAGGUAGAAAUUUUUAAGUGUAUAUAGACCAUAAGAUGCAAAAUGCAAAUUGGCUGAGAAAACAAAGGCAGUCUUGGGAAAAGUGCUAGAGAGGGGACAUCGUGGAGAGAGAGGAACAAGAUUUGAUUCAAUCAGCAUUUUAAAGCAAAGACCAAGGUCCUGUCUAUGAAGAAGAAGGUGAAGAAGGUGUUUCUAAGAUGAUGCAAUGAUCAGUCUGGUUGCACAGAGAAGAAAAUCAAGUCUAUGUCUUUUAUCUACCAGACUUGAGAUUGUGAGUGAGAAAGAAGCUUAGGGUUAAGACACUAGAAUGAUCAAGUUUGCUCAUGACAAGGAAGAAGGAGCAUACAGCCCAUCAGCUCAGGCCUGGGUGUGUCUGAUCCUGGCAGAGUUUCUAAGGUGAUAAAACCUUGAGCAAGUGGUGACAGCAAUCCUCUGGGAAAGAAACUUAGUCUCUAGAAUUUCCCCAGCGAUUUUUCUUCUAGUCUGUUCAGCCCUCAUGGAACACGUCAAAUUGAUAGCAAAGAAAGAGAUUCGAACCAGGUCUAAGGCUUUGAUGUACUGUUUGGGUUUUUUUUUAAAUUUAUUUGUUUUCCAGUCCAUGCCAACUGGAUAAACAGGUAGGUUUGAUUUAAGAAGAAUAAUUUUCCUCUCAGAUCCAAUUCACUUAUAUAAGCUUUUGAAAACUGGAUCCUCAAACUUGAUGGAAUUUCUCAGAUACCUUAUUUUUAUUGUGGAGUAUAUAUGUACCUGAUAUAGUGAGAAAAGGAGAGGAGAAUAUAUGCUAAGAAAAGGAGAUAUGCUUAGAAAAGGAAAAGAGAAUAUUCAUGCUAAGAAAAGAAGAGAAUAUUUUCUUUUUUUCAGGGGCUCUCUUUUGAAAUUCUGUUUCCAUGUUUAAUAUCUCUUUCACAGGUCUUCUGAUUAGCACUUAAAGAAAACUAAGAUUACAAGAGAGCAAGUUAGAGGUGGAGGGAGGCCUCAUUUCUGCUUAAUCCCAAAAGUAAAAUGGUAUGAAAGGAAGAAUAUGAUAAGGAAAGGAAGACUAUCAGAGAAUGGUAUGAGGGAGGAGCAUAGAAUUGGCAGAAUUAGGAAUUCCUCUAAAUCAAAGAGUAAAAGAAAGCACCCAGUGAUAUCUUCCCCAGUGCCUUCCAUCUUGCCACUUGAAAUAAGAAAGCCUUGAGAAGGAACAAAAAUGAGGAUUAGAAGCUGAAUGAUAUGGCUGACAAGCAAGAUUGGUUAUAGCCCCAGGUGAGAAGGGGAGGAUCAAUUGGCUAAAGUGCAAAAUAUAUUCAGUUUUUUGUGACUCAUUUAUUCCAAGUGCCAUUUGAUCCCAUAGGAGUCCUCGCCUGAUGCUGGAUAUCUCAUGUGUGGUUUAGUAAGCAACUGCCACUCCUAGUAAUUACCUUGCAAAUUUUAGGUCCCGGUACUGGAUUGAAUGGCAGCCCUUCAAGAGAGUCAUGUACAGUUUGUGAGGAUGAACAUCUAUGAAGACACAUCUUUGCAGAUAUAAUUGUGAAGGAUAGUGAGAUGAGCUCAUCAUGUGUUAGAAAAGGCCCCAAAUCCAAGAACAGGUGUCCCUGUGAGAGAAAAAAAAAGAGGAAGAAGAUGCACAGAGGGGUAGGCCAUGCGAAGACCGAAGCAGAGACUGGAUUUAUAAAACUAUAGGCCAAAGAGUGCCAGUAGCUUCUAGAAACUAAGAAAGAGGCAGGAACAGACUUCUCAGGGGUUCCAGAAGAAACCAGCCCUGCUGACACCUUGACUUCAGACUUCUGGCCACCGAAACAGUGAGAGAACACAUUUCGAUUGUUUCAAACCAGCCAGUUGGUGGUCAUCUGUUAUGUCAGCCCUACAACAGGAUGACAGACUCUCUUCAAAGCCAGCAUGGCUGUGCUGAAGAUGUUGUUCUUCAGUUGCUCAGUCAUGUCUGCCUCUUUGUGACUUCAUGGACUGCAGCAUGCCAAGCUUCCCUGUCCUUCACUGUCUCCCUACUGAAGAUGAGACAGAGUUAAAAAGCAAAAUGGAUUGAUUUGAGCUGAUUAUAACAUCUGUCUGGGCUAAUUCCUCCAGAAACUGUAAAUAGAUCAGUAAAUCAAUUCAAGCCACGUGUCAGUUGAGUCCAUACCGUGUGCUAAGCACUAUGGUAAGAAGCCAGGCAAUCAUCAGCUCGCCAGUCCUUAGGUCACUGAUAGUCUAAAUGUCCACAGAAAGUUUUUAUAGAUCGGUGAAAUCCUCUGGGAGAUGGAAACUCACACUUGGGGGAUAUAAGCACAUCGGAAAUUCUCUUGCCCACAAGGUGAGGACCCCAGCCACAGAACAGUGCAACUCACUUCGAUGCCCUGAAGAGGAAUAAACAUGUGCAUUUCAACUAGAAGCCAUCAGUCCCUUCGAGCUCUGUCUGUCUGUCAUGUGCAGAUGACCAGGGGAAGGGUCCUCAGAUUUCCUUGGUGAAGUACAAAAGGAGCAACACCAGCGUGGAGCCACCUGAUAUGGUGCUCUCCAGUUAACCUGUGGACAACGUGAUGCUUCAUGAAAGAAAAAAAAAAAAAAACUCACUUAAAAAAUUCUCCAUCGUCUAUCCCCAGCUGAGAAAAUAGGAAUACUUGUGAAAGUUUCUGAGAAGUCCCACAGUAAAACCCUUGCUUGUCAUUGUUUAACCCAACUCCUUCCAAGAUAAGUUAAACACAUGACCUCUCUUUACGAGACACCUAUUAACUUUUCACAGAACUUGGGUUUCAUGAAGCACUUCUUGAAGACUUUUGCCCUGGAAGGAGAUCGAGCCAAGCCUCUAAUCCUGCCCACCUAGGAUUUCAGCAGACGAUUAGGACAAUUCUAAACUAGAGUAAAUUGACCAGGGUUCUGACUCGAGGGAUUUACGCUUUAUGAUUUUAAGGAAAUCAACUUGGCAGGUAUAAAUUAGAAAAGCUCAGUGGUGAACAUGCAACCAGGUACUUCUUAAAUGUCAUUCCUGGAGAUACUGACCAGAUACACACAGCCCUUUCUAAAAAGAAUUUACUGAGCCAAGCUUGUCAAGUGGAAUUCCUCGUUGGAUUUCUCUGUAUACACGAGCUCCAGCGUUCUUAAUCUACUCAACUGACAGAGACUUAAAAUUUCUUAAGGAA
Molecule: long non-coding RNA, 3742 nt
Organism: Odocoileus virginianus texanus
Lineage: Eukaryota; Metazoa; Chordata; Mammalia; Artiodactyla; Cervidae
Source: RefSeq, a predicted model, not a curated record